AAAUGUGUUGCAGAACAGUUAUUAGAGUUGGACAAAAAAUUUUUUUCAUAUCACACAAAAAUUUCAUUACCUCCCUUUUCAGAUAAUUUAUGAACUAAGAAAUAGAGAACGUAUAUCAGUUGCAGCAGCAUCAAAAUUACUAUCCAACAUUUUGUACAACUAUAAAGGAAUGGGAUUGUAUAUGGUGCACAUUUCUAACUUGCCUCAAUGAAGAAUGAAGAUUCAGGAGUUGCAAAUGCUUGGGGGGAGUUAGUGUGCAUGGAGGUGUGUCACCCUCCUAUUGGUGGAGGGGUUUUGCUGCAUGGUGACAUCAUCAUGCAGUGGCACAAAUUCAUGUGAAAUUAGGUGGGAGUUUUCACAAGGCUGGUGGCAUGUAAAUAUCUUUGGCAGAACAUGUGGAAGAGCUGAGUAAGACAGAUAAACUGUAUGCAGAUGUGAUUAUCUAUUGGAAAUACAUUUUCAGGGACCAGGUUUAUAUUAUGUUGACAGUGAAGGCAAUCGAUUUCCUGGUGAUCGUUUUUCUGUUGGUUCUGGCUCCACCUAUGCAUAUGGUGUAAUAGACAGAGAUUUUGACUAUAGUAUGACUGAUGAGGAAGCUUAUUAGCUGGGACACAGAGCCAUCUACCAUGACACUUUCAGAGAUGCUUACAGUGGUGGUAUUAUUCGAGUAUAUCAUGUGAAGGAGACUGGGUGGCAGAAAAUCAGUGAACAAGAUAGUGUGGAUCUUCAUUACAAGUAUCAAGAUGAAGUUUUUAGCUCUGAAAUGAAAUAAAUUAUUCUUUUUUCCUUUAUUUGUAACCAUAAUUAACAACUUUUGUUCAAUAAAAUUACCUAGUAUAUUAAA
Molecule: unclassified non-coding RNA, 844 nt
Filed under: Limulus polyphemus (Atlantic horseshoe crab)
Lineage: Eukaryota; Metazoa; Arthropoda; Merostomata; Xiphosura; Limulidae
Description: proteasome subunit beta type-5-like, transcript variant X1
Source: RNAcentral